AGACAGGUUAGACAGGUGGUAUGUAUCUGAUCACUACUGUAGUAGGGUUGGAAGGUUAGACAGGUGGUAUGUAUCUGAUCACUACUGUAGUAGGGUUGGAAGGUUAGACGGGUUAGACAGGUGGUAUGUAUCUGAUCUCUACUGUAGUAGGGUUGGAAGGUUAGACAGGUGGUAUGUAUCUGAUCUCUACUGUAGUAGGGUUGGAAGGUUAGACAGGUGGUAUGUAUCUGAUCUCUACUGUAGUAGGGUUGGAAGGUUAGACAGGUGGUAUGUAUCUGAUCACUACUGUAGUAGGGUUGGAAGGUUAGACAGGUGGUAUGUAUCUGAUCA
Molecule: long non-coding RNA, 330 nt
Organism: Oncorhynchus keta (chum salmon)
Lineage: Eukaryota; Metazoa; Chordata; Actinopteri; Salmoniformes; Salmonidae
Exons: 3
Source: RefSeq, a predicted model, not a curated record